AUUGAACGCUGGCGGCAGGCCUAACACAUGCAAGUCGAGCGGAUGAAGGGAGCUUGCUCCUGGAUUCAGCGGCGGACGGGUGAGUAAUGCCUAGGAAUCUGCCUGGUAGUGGGGGAUAACGUCCGGAAACGGGCGCUAAUACCGCAUACGUCCUGAGGGAGAAAGUGGGGGAUCUUCGGACCUCACGCUAUCAGAUGAGCCUAGGUCGGAUUAGCUAGUUGGUGGGGUAAAGGCCUACCAAGGCGACGAUCCGUAACUGGUCUGAGAGGAUGAUCAGUCACGCUGGAACUGAGACACGGUCCAGACUCCUACGGGAGGCAGCAGUGGGGAAUACUGGACAAUGGGCGAAAGCCUGAUCCAGCCAUGCCGCGUGUGUGAAGAAGGUCUUCGGAUUGUAAAGCACUUUAAGUUGGGAGGAAGGGCAGUAAGUUAAUACCUUGCUGUUUUGACGUUACCAACAGAAUAAGCACCGGCUAACUUCGUG
RNAcentral lists this ribosomal RNA (484 nucleotides) under uncultured bacterium. Its description in RNAcentral is "partial 16S ribosomal RNA". It matches the Rfam family "Bacterial small subunit ribosomal RNA", at positions 30 to 507 of the family's 1533-position model. The record is from RNAcentral.